This 217-nucleotide long non-coding RNA is filed under the name Prunus persica (peach). RNAcentral describes it as "long non-coding RNA (PPER_LNC000539)". Lineage: Eukaryota; Viridiplantae; Streptophyta; Magnoliopsida; Rosales; Rosaceae. The record is from RNAcentral.
UCAGUCAAAUUGAAGCUUCACCCAAGUUUCUGAACCAUCUACCCUUGGUAGCUAGAAGCCAGUAGGGUGAGGGUUUGUGGUAUCUAUCUAGACUCGAAAUCUAAGAAAACAUCUAGCCUCGUUUAGGUUUUCAUACUCAAUCAUAUCUCCAAUCUUAUCCCCUAUCCUAAACAUGUUGUCCUCAUAGCACAGAUUGAGGGGUAUCCCUCUCACUCAC